GGUAAACAUUUAAUUUUCACCCUUUUUUCUUCUUAUCUUUAAAAAAUUAACCCCUGUUUUCUCUAAUCUUCAUUUUUUUCGCCCGUUAUUCUCUAAUCUUCAUUUUUAAGGGCAUCAUUCUUUAAUCAUUUAACCCCAUCCAAACCUUCAUUUAUGUAGAUACAGAUAAUUUUAUCAACAAUUCAGGUGCCUUUUGAAGGUCAACUUAAUUACAAUGUAAUUACUCAUAACACAAUAAGCAAACUUAACAAUAAACUAAGAGAAUAAUGGUAAUUUG
This 277-nucleotide long non-coding RNA is filed under the name Mytilus galloprovincialis (Mediterranean mussel). Lineage: Eukaryota; Metazoa; Mollusca; Bivalvia; Mytilida; Mytilidae. The record is from RNAcentral.